Molecule: long non-coding RNA, 242 nt
Organism: Hibiscus syriacus
Lineage: Eukaryota; Viridiplantae; Streptophyta; Magnoliopsida; Malvales; Malvaceae
Exons: 2
Source: RefSeq, a predicted model, not a curated record
UUUCUUUGGUAUAGUUGUAGAUUACUGUUUGGUUUGGAAUGUCAAACCAUUAAUGGAUUUAAAUGUUGCAAGGUUAGCACCUUCGUAGUGCCUACUUCCUCUCCAAGUUGCUGUUUCCCUAUAUUAUAAUUUUGAACUAUAAUUAAACCUUGAGCUUACAUCAUAAAUCUGAAUUCCCGUAAGUAAAUCUACAAAAUUCUUCAAUUGGUUGAAUUACUAUUUUAUGCAUGUCUAAGCAACAU